GGCAUCCUACGGGACGCAGCAGUGAGGAAUAUUGGUCAAUAGGCGGGAGCCUGAACCAGCCAAGUCGCGUGAGGGACGACGGUCCUAUGGAUUGUAAACCUCUUUUGUCGGGGAACAAAGGCGCCCACGGGUGGGCGGAUGAGUAUACCCGAAGAAAAAGCAUCGGCUAACUCCGUGCCAGCAGCCGCGGUAAUACGGAGGAUGCGAGCGUUAUCCGGAUUUAUUGGGUUUAAAGGGUGCGUAGGCGGACGGUCAAGUCAGCGGUAAAAAUGCGGUGCUCAACGCCGUACAGCCGUUGAAACUGG
This 305-nucleotide ribosomal RNA is filed under the name uncultured bacterium. RNAcentral describes it as "bacterial SSU rRNA". It matches the Rfam family "Bacterial small subunit ribosomal RNA", at positions 333 to 636 of the family's 1533-position model. The record is from RNAcentral.